Engraulis encrasicolus (European anchovy) is the source of this 137-nucleotide small nucleolar RNA. RefSeq annotates it as small nucleolar RNA SNORA57. The transcript has a single exon. Lineage: Eukaryota; Metazoa; Chordata; Actinopteri; Clupeiformes; Engraulidae. The record is from RefSeq and is a predicted model, not a curated record.
CCUCUAUUUCUUGGCGCACGUGUGGUUGCUCAGUACUCAUGUGUGUAAUGUACGGAGGGAGAGAAGUGCCAAUGCUAUGUCUUCGGUGCCAGUAUGUUCAUCGUCUACUGGUUCUAUCCUCAAUCACUGGGACACAC